CGUAGGGGAAGUAAAAUUCGAAACACGCAUCUUGGUGGGAUACUUAUAAGACGCGGCGGGCAGCGUUACGGAACUUGGCAUCGUUUGCUCAGUGCCAAGAUUAUGAAGAAUUUGAGACACAAUUAUCCACUGUCUCCAAGUCACAAAAGUGAGAUCUGGGGGAACACAAAGCCAACAUCGAACCAAGGCCAUAGAGCGUGGG
Molecule: long non-coding RNA, 202 nt
Organism: Ailuropoda melanoleuca (giant panda)
Lineage: Eukaryota; Metazoa; Chordata; Mammalia; Carnivora; Ursidae
Exons: 3
Source: RefSeq, a predicted model, not a curated record